Molecule: ribosomal RNA, 971 nt
Filed under: human metagenome
Description: bacterial LSU rRNA
Rfam family: Bacterial large subunit ribosomal RNA
Source: RNAcentral
UAACGGUCCUAAGGUAGCGAAAUUCCUUGUCGGGUAAGUUCCGACCCGCACGAAUGGCGUAACGAUGGCCACACUGUCUCCUCCCGAGACUCAGCGAAGUUGAAGUGGUUGUGAAGAUGCAAUCUACCCGCUGCUAGACGGAAAGACCCCGUGAACCUUUACUGUAGCUUUGCAUUGGACUUUGAAGUCACUUGUGUAGGAUAGGUGGGAGGCUUAGAAGCAGAGACGCCAGUCUCUGUGGAGCCGUCCUUGAAAUACCACCCUGGUGUCUUUGAGGUUCUAACCCAGACCCGUAAUCCGGGUCGGGGACCGUGCAUGGUAGGCAGUUUGACUGGGGCGGUCUCCUCCCAAAGAGUAACGGAGGAGUUCGAAGGUUACCUAGGUCCGGUCGGAAAUCGGACUGAUAGUGCAAUGGCAAAAGGUAGCUUAACUGCGAGACCGACAAGUCGAGCAGGUGCGAAAGCAGGACAUAGUGAUCCGGUGGUUCUGUAUGGAAGGGCCAUCGCUCAACGGAUAAAAGGUACUCCGGGGAUAACAGGCUGAUAUCGACGGCGGUGUUUGGCACCUCGAUGUCGGCUCAUCACAUCCUGGGGCUGUAGUCGGUCCCAAGGGUAUGGCUGUUCGCCAUUUAAAGUGGUACGUGAGCUGGGUUUAAAACGUCGUGAGACAGUUUGGUCCCUAUCUGCAGUGGGCGUUGGAAGUUUGACGGGGGCUGCUCCUAGUACGAGAGGACCGGAGUGGACGAACCUCUGGUGUACCGGUUGUAACGCCAGUUGCAUAGCCGGGUAGCUAAGUUCGGAAGAGAUAAGCGCUGAAAGCAUCUAAGCGCGAAACUCGCCUGAAGAUGAGACUUCCCUUGCGGUUUAACCGCACUAAAGAGUCGUUCGAGACCAGGACGUUGAUAGGUGGGGUGUGGAAGCGCGGUAACGCGUGAAGCUAACCCAUACUAAUUGCUCGUGAGGCUUGACUCU